This 200-nucleotide long non-coding RNA is filed under the name Lathyrus oleraceus (garden pea). RNAcentral's name for it is "Pisum sativum (pea) long non-coding RNA (PSAT_LNC026810)". Lineage: Eukaryota; Viridiplantae; Streptophyta; Magnoliopsida; Fabales; Fabaceae. The record is from RNAcentral.
AACAGGGUUUAUAUUAUUAGUAUUAUUAAUGUCAAGGUUACUAAUGUCUAAAUUAGCAAACAUAUCAGAUAAUUGGUCAAUAUGGUUUUCGUUAUUAUCCUCAGAAUAAUCUUCAUGGGACAUAACUGUGAUAUUAAGACCUUUUAACUUUUGUUCUAAAAUACGAACAAAUUCUUGACCAUUGGUUUCCAUUUUAAAUC